Molecule: long non-coding RNA, 264 nt
Filed under: Homo sapiens (human)
Lineage: Eukaryota; Metazoa; Chordata; Mammalia; Primates; Hominidae
Description: HSALNT0081421
Source: RNAcentral
GCUGUAAACACUUUUGCAAUAUAGUAGGUGCAGCCUGUAAAAGGCAACCGGAUUGUGAGGGCAGAGUCACUCAUGGACCAAUGAAAUAAUGAGUUAUCAUGGGAGGCAAACUGGUGGCUUCAUGAGAAGAGAGACCUGAGCUAGCACAGGUCAUGCUCAGCCCCUCUCCAUGUGAUGCCCUGCGCUGCCUGGAGAUGACCCAGAGAGACCCUGCCAUGAGGAAGACUCUCACCAGAUGCACUCGCUUGACCCUGUACUUCACAG